AUUGAACGCUGGCGGAAUGCUUUACACAUGCAAGUCGAACGAUGAACCUUAGCUUGCUAAGGGGAUUAGUGGCGAACGGGUGAGUAAUAUAUCGGAACGUGCCUUGUAAUGGGGGAUAACUAGUCGAAAGAUUAGCUAAUACCGCAUACGCCCUGAGGGGGAAAGUAGGGGAUCUUCGGACCUUACGUUAUAAGAGCGGCCGAUAUCUGAUUAGCUAGUUGGUGGGGUAAUGGCCUACCAAGGCGACGAUCAGUAGCUGGUCUGAGAGGACGACCAGCCACACUGGAACUGAGACACGGUCCAGACUCCUACGGGAGGCAGCAGUGGGGAAUUUUGGACAAUGGGCGCAAGCCUGAUCCAGCCAUUCCACGUGAGUGAAGAAGGCCUUCGGGUUGUAAAGCUCUUUCGCAAGGGAAGAAAACUUACCAUCGAAUAAAUGGUGAGGCUGACGGUACCUUGAUAAGAAGCACCGGCUAACUACGUG
RNAcentral lists this ribosomal RNA (484 nucleotides) under uncultured bacterium. RNAcentral's name for it is "partial 16S ribosomal RNA". It matches the Rfam family "Bacterial small subunit ribosomal RNA", at positions 30 to 507 of the family's 1533-position model. The record is from RNAcentral.